GACGAACGCUGGCGGCGUGCCUAAUACAUGCAAGUAGAACGCUGAAGGAGGAGCUUGCUUCUCUGGAUGAGUUGCGAACGGGUGAGUAACGCGUAGGUAACCUGCCUGGUAGCGGGGGAUAACUAUUGGAAACGAUAGCUAAUACCGCAUAAGAGUAGAUGUUGCAUGACAUUUGCUUAAAAGGUGCAAUUGCAUCACUACCAGAUGGACCUGCGUUGUAUUAGCUAGUUGGUGGGGUAACGGCUCACCAAGGCGACGAUACAUAGCCGACCUGAGAGGGUGAUCGGCCACACUGGGACUGAGACACGGCCCAGACUCCUACGGGAGGCAGCAGUAGGGAAUCUUCGGCAAUGGACGGAAGUCUGACCGAGCAACGCCGCGUGAGUGAAGAAGGUUUUCGGAUCGUAAAGCUCUGUUGUAAGAGAAGAACGAGUGUGAGAGUGGAAAGUUCACACG
This 456-nucleotide ribosomal RNA is filed under the name Streptococcus mitis. RNAcentral's name for it is "bacterial SSU rRNA". It matches the Rfam family "Bacterial small subunit ribosomal RNA", at positions 28 to 470 of the family's 1533-position model. The record is from RNAcentral. Lineage: Bacteria; Bacillati; Bacillota; Bacilli; Lactobacillales; Streptococcaceae.